Nanorana parkeri is the source of this 282-nucleotide long non-coding RNA. RefSeq lists it as uncharacterized. NCBI's taxonomy places the organism in Eukaryota, Metazoa, Chordata, Amphibia, Anura, Dicroglossidae. The record is from RefSeq and is a predicted model, not a curated record. The transcript is spliced from 2 exons.
CGGGUGCAAGCAGCUUCAGGCAAUAUCUGUUUCAUUAGAAGAUUAGACAAAUUGGGCUUCUGAUAAUUAAAAGGAAAACACGAGUCACAAGUAUGUGGGCUGCGUUCGCAUCAGCUGCAGCUUCAGAGAGUAACUGGAUAUUGACAAGUAAAUAUUUAUUUCAUACCAGCCAUGGCGUAAACUCAAAGCAGAACAAUCUAAAGAAAUGCAGGAGAACGCAGCAUUACAGAAGAACAAAGGAGAGUUAAAUAUUUCUGCCUUCAGGAACAGCAAGAUCAGGUA